This 505-nucleotide ribosomal RNA is filed under the name uncultured bacterium. RNAcentral's name for it is "partial 16S ribosomal RNA". It matches the Rfam family "Bacterial small subunit ribosomal RNA", at positions 28 to 507 of the family's 1533-position model. The record is from RNAcentral.
GACGAACGCUGGCGGCGUGCCUAAUACAUGCAAGUAGAACGCACAGUUUAUACCGUAGCUUGCUACACCAUAGACUGUGAGUUGCGAACGGGUGAGUAACGCGUAGGUAACCUGCCUGGUAGCGGGGGAUAACUAUUGGAAACGAUAGCUAAUACCGCAUAAUAUUGAUUAUUGCAUGAUAAUUGAUUGAAAGAUGCUAUUGCAUCACUACCAGAUGGACCUGCGUUGUAUUAGCUAGUAGGUGAGGUAACGGCUCACCUAGGCGACGAUACAUAGCCGACCUGAGAGGGUGAUCGGCCACACUGAGACUGAGACACGGCCCAGACUCCUACGGGAGGCAGCAGUAGGGAAUCUUCGGCAAUGGACGAAAGUCUGACCGAGCAACGCCGCGUGAGUGAAGAAGGUUUUCGGAUCGUAAAGCUCUGUUGUAAGAGAAGAACGGGUGUGAGAGUGGAAAGUUCACACUGUGACGGUAUCUUACCAGAAAGAGACGGCUAACUACGUG